ACCUAUCUCCUAAGUAAAGAAUCUGCCUGCAAUGCAGAUGACCAGGGUUCGAUCCCUGGGUUGGGA
RNAcentral lists this transfer RNA (66 nucleotides) under Bos taurus (domestic cattle). It matches the Rfam family "tRNA". Rfam says of the family: Transfer RNA (tRNA) molecules are approximately 80 nucleotides in length. Their secondary structure includes four short double-helical elements and three loops (D, anti-codon, and T loops). Further hydrogen bonds mediate the characteristic L-shaped molecular structure. tRNAs have two regions of fundamental functional importance: the anti-codon, which is responsible for specific mRNA codon recognition, and the 3' end, to which the tRNAs corresponding amino acid is attached (by aminoacyl-tRNA synthetases). tRNAs cope with the degeneracy of the genetic code in two manners: having more than one tRNA (with a specific anti-codon) for a particular amino acid; and 'wobble' base-pairing, i.e. permitting non-standard base-pairing at the 3rd anti-codon position. RNAcentral also lists the same sequence under 3 other names. The record is from Rfam by way of RNAcentral. Lineage: Eukaryota; Metazoa; Chordata; Mammalia; Artiodactyla; Bovidae.